GACGAACGCUGGCGGCGUGCUUAACACAUGCAAGUCGAACGGAAAGGCCCCUUUGGGGGUACUCGAGUGGCGAACGGGUGAGUAACACGUGAGUAACCUGCCCUCGACUUCGGGAUAACUUCAGGAAACUGGGGCUAAUACCGGAUAGGAAUCCUUGCUGCAUGGUGGGGGUUGGAAAGCUUCGGGGGUUUUGGAUGGACUCGCGGCUUAUCAGCUUGUUGGUGGGGUAGUGGCUUACCAAGGCUUUGACGGGUAGCCGGCCUGGGAGGGCGACCGGCCACAUUGGGACUGGGAUACGGCCCAGACUCCUACGGGAGGCAGCAGUGGGGAAUAUUGCACAAUGGGCGGAAGCCUGAUGCAGCAACGCCGCGGGCGGGAUGACGGCCUUCGGGUUGUAAACCGCUUUCAGCAGGGGCGAAGCUUGUGGUGACGGUACCUGCAGAAGAAGCACCGGCUAACUACGUG
RNAcentral lists this ribosomal RNA (465 nucleotides) under uncultured bacterium. RNAcentral's name for it is "partial 16S ribosomal RNA". It matches the Rfam family "Bacterial small subunit ribosomal RNA", at positions 28 to 507 of the family's 1533-position model. The record is from RNAcentral.